Long non-coding RNA from Acanthopagrus latus (yellowfin seabream), 252 nucleotides. RefSeq lists it as uncharacterized. The transcript has 2 exons. The record is from RefSeq and is a predicted model, not a curated record. NCBI's taxonomy places the organism in Eukaryota, Metazoa, Chordata, Actinopteri, Spariformes, Sparidae.
GAACGGCUCUGACCUGUAUGGUGAUCAGCACUGGAGAGGAGAGACACCUGUCCAACAAGGUGACAGACGAGCAGCUGAGACGAAUAAGACGAGCCGCCACAGAACCUGAAGCAGGAAAACUGAGUAUCCAUCUUCUGAUGAAACUCCUUCAGGUCCUGCAGUUGUUUGUUGACUCUGGUUUCACCUGCUCAGACAGUGAGCACUGUUGUCUUUGCUGGUUAUUUACAUAAUAAAACCUUUUUUUGAAAUACA